GAUGAACGCUGGCGGCGUGCCUAAUACAUGCAAGUCGAGCGAACGGACGAGAAGCUUGCUUCUCUGAUGUUAGCGGCGGACGGGUGAGUAACACGUGGAUAACCUACCUAUAAGACUGGGAUAACUUCGGGAAACCGGAGCUAAUACCGGAUAAUAUUUUGAACCGCAUGGUUCAAAAGUGAAAGACGGUCUUGCUGUCACUUAUAGAUGGAUCCGCGCUGCAUUAGCUAGUUGGUAAGGUAACGCCUUACCAAGGCAACGAUGCAUAGCCGACCUGAGAGGGUGAUGGGCCACACUGGAACUGAGACCCGGUCCAGACUCCUACGGGAGGCAGCAGUAGGGAAUCUUCCGCAAUGGGCGAAAGCCUGACGGAGCAACGCCGCGUGAGUGAUGAAGGUCUUCGGAUCGUAAAACUCUGUUAUUAGUGAAUAACAUAUGUGUAAUUAACUGUGCACAUCUUGACGGUACCUUAUCAGAAAGCCACGGCUAACUACGUG
This 497-nucleotide ribosomal RNA is filed under the name uncultured bacterium. RNAcentral describes it as "partial 16S ribosomal RNA". It matches the Rfam family "Bacterial small subunit ribosomal RNA", at positions 28 to 507 of the family's 1533-position model. The record is from RNAcentral.